Molecule: long non-coding RNA, 2563 nt
Organism: Lolium rigidum
Lineage: Eukaryota; Viridiplantae; Streptophyta; Magnoliopsida; Poales; Poaceae
Exons: 6
Source: RefSeq, a predicted model, not a curated record
CGCUGCCGCCGGGCACCCCGAGUUGACGCCCAUGGAGCGCGUCGAGCCGUCGAGCAGAGCGGAGCGGAUGUUGCACCCCCUUCCUCGCUGCCGCUCGGUCUGCAGAUGCGAUGCGGAGAGGAAAGGAUGAGAUGGAUAGAAGAAGGGGAUGCAUGAUCAAGAGGAGAAGAGGAGGUCGCACCACCCAAGUACUCUUUUCCAUCCAGCGGAGGUCACACCGUUCCCUCUUCUCGUCGGCGACUACACCAAUGGCGGCUGCUUCGUCAACGGGGGAGACGACGACUGCGAGGGUGGCCUCAGGGCCAGCUAGACUCGUCAACCACCGAUUCGACGAUGAAGAAGGGUGAUGCGAUUUGUAUCAAUAUAGAAACCUACUUUGGGUGGUCUUCAGUAAACACUGGGCAUGAUUGUAGAUGAUUUGAUAUCAUGGUAGAUGUGAGAUUGAUCGCUGGAGUUGGCUCUGGAGGCGCACAUCUUGAUGAGGAUCUUUAAGGAGAUUGAAAGCUUCAGUUCGGCUCCAACUGUUAAUCCGACAAUCAGGAAUUAAACCUCAUGAUUGCACGUGUUGCCGCAACAGCAUCUUACUAAUGAGGAGUUGACGGAAUUUCUCUCCCAGCUAGAGAUGAAAAAAACAUGGAGAGAAUUAGGUAUGUUUAUCUCUCUAUUGUUUAGGUUCCCUUGUAGAUGAAAGUUGCAAUGUCACUAGAUUAUUUCUACUUAAGAGUUACACUAGACAUGGCAUGCUUUUGGGCUCUAGCCGGUACCCUACAUUUUACACUUCUAUGUUGGUGAUUUUUCAUUUUUCUAUUACUGCCAGCGGUUAAUUAGCUGAUCAUAUUUGUGUGUAAUUUUCUCCUUGUUGUCACUGAAGACAUAUAAUGAGUGGUUGGCCUCCUUUUUAGUUUUCUUUGCAAUAUUUGUGUGUAAAAAUGAUUAGUGAGAUGAACAUACGUAAUGGGAUAUAGUGGAAUACAUUGCUGCAAUGAUUAAGCAACUACAGUUUCUGCAUGUUGAAUUACUUUCUACUUCAGGCAAUCCAAGCGAUGGUAAGUCGUUUUUAUGCUGUCUUCCUUUAGUUUUCUAAUUUAAUCUCCUGUAUAAUUCCUUCAAAUGAAGGAACAAAGAAAAUAUUAGUGUUGGUAUAUGAUUGAUAAUUUGCAGGGACAUGGUGGCUUUUUCGUGGUGGAUCCAUUUCUCCCUACUAUGCCGCCUAAUUGACUUCCCUUCGGUUGCCAUCACAGGCAUGUCUAUAGCUUGAUCUCAAUGGCACCAGCUGUAUGGACGUGACUUUUUUUGAUAAUUUCCUACACCAAAUUUAUGCCUUCAAGUACAGCCAAGGCUAAGCCACACAAACUUUCGUUAGUUCUCGAUACUUUUUUGUAUGAGAUUUUGGAUCAGUAUAGUCUGCAGGGAUGCUCAUGCUUCUUAUAUUUACUUCUAAUUCCAAAUACGGAUAUGCUUUUUAUUUAUGCCUACUAAAGUAUGUGUGUUAAACAAAGCAUGGAAUUUGUGUUUUUUCAGAUUAUUGCUGAUUUAGUUGUACACACGUAGUUAAAAUCUGCACAUGUACUAAAACUGGAUCAUAUUUCAGUGGAUAAUUUAGGUACCCAUUCGAAGUCAACUUAUUGUUCGCCUUGGAGUUCAAGCUAUGCAGGACUCAAAGACUAUUUCUACUGAGUCUCUUUUCAUCUAAUUAAAGAAGAUGACAUUUUACCCUAAGCAAAUUGAACUUCAUAUUUACAAAGAUAGUAGAAUUGGGCAACCAGAUUUAUCUCUACUUUGGUUAUUCUACAAAGUGCAGAUUUUCUUCAUCUAUGUAUUGGAUACCUUCAGUUCUACGAUAUUGUAUUAGAUAUAUGUAGUGGUAACCUGUGUUUCACUCAGCUAUUACUUCACAUCCUCGUCUCUCCUUAUUUAGGUAUCUGCAAUUAAUUGCUCUUUCUUGUAUCGUUUCCUCACAGUUCAUGGGAUCCUAGAUGACUUGAUAUAGUACAUAUCUGGUUUGGUAUUAAAUGUAUUCCAUGAUAUAGAGGUACUCAUAACUGUAAUUGGGACCAUACAUGUAAACUCUCUGUUCUUGAUUUCUACCUUGUCAUACAGAUACCAUAAGGUGCCCGUGAAUUUUAUUCUUUUGAGUUUCUCUUAGUGAACUUCCUUUGGUCGUGGGCUGUUUGAUUUUGUUUCUAGCUUCUCCUAAAAGGCUUUCAUGGCAUGCUUGUCAUCACGGCCCAUACAUGGAGUUCAUGAAAGUUCGAUUUGCCUUCCAUGCCAGUUCUAUGGAGAAACAAAUGAGGAGCUGCUCUUUUUUGUGCCGGAUGAUAGGGACCCUUCUCCUGUUGAUGCAAUACACCAGCUAUAUUGUUCCAGCUUCCUUAAUUCUUGUAGGCCAAGCAGCUAACCUCGGUUUGGUCUGUGUACAUGUACACCAUAAGCACCAUCAGCUUAUAUGUGCAAAUUAGUUUCAGGUAUCGUUUCAACCUUGUAUGUGAAGUGAACUCGUGUAACCAAAACAUGUAUCUGCUACUUUAUUAUGUUUCCUUCAAGAAAAACCAAAUGCUUGCAA